AUGCAAGCCCCGCCGCUCGCCGCGCUCGCCGGAGGCGCCUGGGCCUCCCAUCGACCUGCCAUAUUAGCGGCGCCGGCGAGCCUCCGCCGUCCCAGGCGCGGCGCCCUCCGGCUGCCCGCGUGGAGGCCGGCCGGAGGCGGCCGGGCUCCGCGGCUCCCGGCCAAGGGCGCCGUGCUCGCCUCCGACACGGGGGCGGACGAGGAGGUCGCGGGGCCAUCGCCCCUGCUCGACGUGCGCAGCGAGCAAGAGUUCGUUCUACGCGUCAGGAAGGAAGUGGAGAGAGGGAAGUUGCGUCCGGAUGUUGCUGACAACUUUGAAAACCUGUACUACAACUACAAGAAUGCGGUCCUACAAAAUGGGGAUCCAAAUGCAUAUCAGAUCAUGCUUUCCAACAUGAUGGAUUUAUUUGACCGCGUUCUGCUGGAUGAAGAGAAUCCAUUUACGUUUCAGCCUUAUCACAAGGCCAUCAGAGAACCGUUUGACUAUUACACUUUCGGUCAGAACUACAUUAGGCCACUGGUAGAUUUUAGGAACUCUUAUGUCGGUAACAUUUCUGUGUUCAGUGAUAUGGAGAAUCAGCUUCGGCAGGGUCAUAAUGUUGUUCUGAUGUCUAAUCAUCAGACAGAAGCGGAUCCAGCAGUUAUUGCCUUGUCACUUGAAAGAAGCAAUCCGUGGAUUAGCGAGAACAUAGUUUAUGUUGCUGGGGAUAGGGUUCUUACAGAUCCUCUUUGCAAGCCAUUUAGCAUGGGAAGAAACCUCCUUUGUGUGUACUCAAAAAAGCAUAUGAAUGAUUUUCCUGAGCUAAUUGAGAUGAAGAGGAGGGCAAACACUCGAAGUCUCAAGGAAAUGGCUUUGCUUUUACGUGGGGGUUCACAUAUAAUUUGGAUAGCUCCGAGUGGCGGUAGAGACCGUCCUGACCCUUUGACUGGAGAAUGGCACCCGGCGCCAUUUGAUGCAUCUGCAGUGGAUAAUAUGAGGAGGCUUCUGGAGCAUUCUGGCGUUCCUGGGCACAUAUAUCCAUUAUCAUUGCUAUGCUAUGAGAUUAUGCCUCCACCACAACAGAUUGAGAAAGAGAUUGGUGAGCAAAGAGUGAUAUCCUUCCAUGGUGUAGGCUUGUCAGUAGCUGAAGAAAUAAAGUAUGGGGAUGUUACUGCUCAAUCUCGGAAUGCUGAUGUGGCAAGGGGGAUAUUCUCAGAGGCUCUGUACAAUUCAGUUGUUGAUCAAUAUAAUGUCCUCAAGUCUGCUAUCUUUAGAGACCGUGGAGCAGUUUCGUCAAACCCUGCCAUCUCACUCUCGCAACCAUGGCGAUGA
This 1311-nucleotide ribosomal RNA is filed under the name Triticum aestivum (bread wheat). RNAcentral's name for it is "partial small subunit ribosomal RNA". Lineage: Eukaryota; Viridiplantae; Streptophyta; Magnoliopsida; Poales; Poaceae. The record is from RNAcentral.